This 437-nucleotide long non-coding RNA is filed under the name Homo sapiens (human). RNAcentral describes it as "HSALNT0188921". The record is from RNAcentral. Lineage: Eukaryota; Metazoa; Chordata; Mammalia; Primates; Hominidae.
GGCUGACACAGCACCUGGGCCGAGCAGGCCUGCAGCUUCCCUCUGCGCGCUCACAACACUCUAGGAAGCUAUGGGAGGUGAGGCCCGUAGUGGAGAAGAAUUGAAGGAGAAAAACGGAGGGCUGUUCUGGUGUGGCGCAGGUAGCAUCUAAAGGAACUGGUUUAAAUCCUAAUGCCAAAGUAUGGCAAGAAAUUGCUCCUGGAAAUACUGAUGCCACCCCAGUAACUCAUGGAACUGAAAGCUCUUGGCAUGAAAUAGCAGCUACAUCAGGUGCUCAUCCUGAGGGUAAUGCAGAGCUCUCAGAAGAUAUAUGUAAAGAAUAUGAAGUAAUGUAUUCUUCAUCUUGUGAAACCACAAGAAAUACUACAGGCAUUGAAGAAUCAACUGAUGGGAUGAUUUUAGGACCAGAAGAUCUGAGUUACCAAAUAUAUGAUGUU